Molecule: long non-coding RNA, 1758 nt
Organism: Homo sapiens (human)
Lineage: Eukaryota; Metazoa; Chordata; Mammalia; Primates; Hominidae
Gene: MIR222HG
Product: miR222/221 cluster host gene
Source: Ensembl
CCACUCUCCUGCCUGGGCUGCUGCUCAACGGGGGCUGGGGGUGUGUGGGGCGGGGGUGGUCUGUCCAGUGAUUCAGCCACAUGUGAUAGAUGACCAAGUGACUGCUUUCUUGGAGUCCGCACACCAGUGGAAGACUCUCAAAGUGGUUGUGACCGACUUGAUCAAACUCUAGGCUUCCUGAACUGGAAUGAAAUGCAGAUAACUCUUUAGAAAACUUUUGUAGGAAAAGCGCCUCGUGUGAUCUGGAACAAAGACGUUUUAUAAUCAGAUUUAUCAAGCUGCGAAGAGGGAGUUUUAGUGAACGGAAGCAGCAGCAUUCUGUCACCAGGAAAUACUCCUUUAUCCAGAAUUGGUAAGUGAAAAGUGGCAUUGCUCCCUAAUAGAUAUCAUAUGCGUGUGUGGGAAUUGAAAAAUUGUUCACAGACCCCUAACAACUGUGUUGAACAGAGAACACAUAAACAGUGAGGAGUUCUAAAAAAGAGCAGCACGAGAAUACCGCAUAAAGACUGAGAAGAAGCCAGGUAAUUAACAAAAAUGAGCUGAGUGCUAUCAGUUUAGCUAAACAUAUGUAAUACAGCUAGAUUUGGUUGUUUUAUUUUUUCUUGUUAGUGGAGGAGAAACAUAAAAUCAGAAUGGGCUGUUUAGUAGAAUUGCGACAUUAACUUUCCAUGGAUGUAGAUUUCCAUUUAGUCUGAAUAGCAUGUAUGAAAUUUGAAGGGAUGCUUUCAGAAUUAGUCUACUUGCCCUCCUUUCCUUUCCUCUGCAUUAAGAUGUCAAGUAUUUAGUUAGAACCUUACAAGAUGAAAGUUGUACAAAAUGAAAGUUCAAGUAAUGCGUCGGAAACACCUCUCCUGAUUGGGAAGGGUAGAUUACAAUGGCAAUAGAUUUUUGUUUUUUGUUUCUUACAUUUGUGUCACGAAUUUUAAGUUUGUUCUAUUGGAUUACAUUAGUACAGCAAAAGGGGGGUUAUUUCUAUCUAUAUGGUUCAUGACAUUUUGAGAGGUCGUGAUUAGUAGUUCUUACUGGUUUCGUAUGCGUGUUCCUGCCUGUUGAAUUCAGUUUUCUAAUCUUGAAUCUGAGCUGCCUUUAUGUUAAAGGGUUCUAGAAAAAGACAAUAAAGCUUUGAAUACCCGUGUUAUAUACAACAGGUUCCUGUUCAUGAUGUAUAAGGUAACGCAAUUUUAUUUUAGGCAUGAAUGUCUAAUUUCUUGAUUUGGCUUCUUAAGAAUAUACUGAAAAGGUUGAAUAGAAUAAGAAAAAGAACAUUAGAAAAGAAUGGUGGGUGACUGCCUGAUUUUACUAGUUUCUUAUUGGUCAAUAGAAGUAAUCAUGUGAUGUCUACUUAUAGAAGCAAAUGGAAAAAAUUUUUCUUCUUUAACUGCUAACAAGUAUAUAGGCAAUUUUAGCAAUCUUCAUUUAUUAAUUUGAAUAUAUAAUUAUAACUGUUAUUAACAGAAUAAGUUUUGGGUAAUAUAGGAAAUAAUAAUUAUUUCUUUCUUUUUAAGCCAAAUUGGAAGUUGAAUCUACUUUUGGUUCCUGUUCUGUUACUUUCAAAAUCUUAAAAUCCUUAACUCAAAAGGGAAAAUGUAUAAUAAAACAGGAUAGCAGUGCUGAAAUUUCUCUCUCUUAGCAGUGGAGUGGGAUGAGGGUGGGGGAGGGAGAUGAAUCUAGUGAGAUAUAUUAAUUGUUUUUUCCCCCUCUUGUAUACUUGGAUAACUUUUGAGAUCAGUUUUCUCAGACUAGCAGCUCUCAAGACUU